GAUGAACGCUGGCGGCGUGCCUAAUACAUGCAAGUCGAGCGAACGGACGAGAAGCUUGCUUCUCUGAUGUUAGCGGCGGACGGGUGAGUAACACGUGGAUAACCUACCUAUAAGACUGGGAUAACUUCGGGAAACCGGAGCUAAUACCGGAUAAUAUAUUGAACCGCAUGGUUCAAAAGUGAAAGACGGUUUUGCUGUCACUUAUAGAUGGAUCCGCGCUGCAUUAGCUAGUUGGUAAGGUAACGGCUUACCAAGGCAACGAUGCAUAGCCGACCUGAGAGGGUGAUCGGCCACACUGGAACUGAGACACGGUCCAGACUCCUACGGGAGGCAGCAGUAGGGAAUCUUCCGCAAUGGGCGAAAGCCUGACGGAGCAACGCCGCGUGAGUGAUGAAGGUCUUCGGAUCGUAAAACUCUGUUAUUAGGGAAGAACAAAUGUGUAAGUAACUAUGCACAUCUUGACGGUACCUAAUCAGAAAGCCACGGCUAACUACGUG
RNAcentral lists this ribosomal RNA (497 nucleotides) under uncultured bacterium. RNAcentral describes it as "partial 16S ribosomal RNA". It matches the Rfam family "Bacterial small subunit ribosomal RNA", at positions 28 to 507 of the family's 1533-position model. The record is from RNAcentral.